GCGGGAGUGCCGGAGCGGUCAAACGGGCUAUUCAGUGCGCAUGAAAGUGCGUGGUGAGCCUUGGGUUGAGGGCCUAGUAGCUUAGUGCUUACGCGGGUUCGAGUCCCGUCUCCCGCA
RNAcentral lists this transfer RNA (117 nucleotides) under Candidatus Woesearchaeota archaeon. RNAcentral's name for it is "tRNA-OTHER". It matches the Rfam family "tRNA". From Rfam's summary of the family: Transfer RNA (tRNA) molecules are approximately 80 nucleotides in length. Their secondary structure includes four short double-helical elements and three loops (D, anti-codon, and T loops). The record is from RNAcentral. Lineage: Archaea; Nanobdellati; Candidatus Woesearchaeota.